Molecule: ribosomal RNA, 238 nt
Filed under: uncultured bacterium
Lineage: Bacteria
Description: partial 16S ribosomal RNA
Rfam family: Bacterial small subunit ribosomal RNA
Source: RNAcentral
GCCCCUAGGGAGGCAGCAGUAGGGAAUCUUCCACAAUGGACGAAAGUCUGAUGGAGCAACGCCGCGUGAGUGAAGAAGGGUUUCGGCUCGUAAAGCUCCGUUGGUAGUGAAGAAAGAUAGAGGUAGUAACUGGCCUUUAUUUGACGGUAAUUACUUAGAAAGUCACGGCUAACUACGUGCCAGCAGCCGCGGUAAUACGUAGGUGGCCAGCGUUGUCCGGAUUUAUUGGGCGUAAAGC